GAAAAGAGGGCGCUUUUUUUGGCCUAUAACAGCGCUUUAAAGCGCCCUCUAAUCUGGCGCUGGCAUAGGUAAAGACAACGCUUUUUUUCCUAGUGAAAGUGCUGUCUAAAGUGGCUCUUUAAGACCUUUAAGGGCCACUUUAGAGGGCUCUUUUUCAAAAAAGCGCCCUCUAAAGUGGAAAUAUUUAAGGGGUUUAGAGGGCGCUUUUACUGGAAAGCGCCCUCUAAAGUGGAAACUUUUAAGGGUUUAGAGGGCGCUUUCC
This 262-nucleotide long non-coding RNA is filed under the name Lathyrus oleraceus (garden pea). Its description in RNAcentral is "Pisum sativum (pea) long non-coding RNA (PSAT_LNC005705)". The record is from RNAcentral. Lineage: Eukaryota; Viridiplantae; Streptophyta; Magnoliopsida; Fabales; Fabaceae.